UUUUUAUUGUAUUUAUUGCCUGGUUUGAAUCUUAAAGCAAAGAGUAAUAUUUUAUAAAGAAGAAGACCAAAGUCAACUGUUAGGCAGGUCAUUCCUUUAAUUUGUUUAAUUCGCCCGUCUUGUCACCGUACUAACUUAUUUAUAAAUGAGAUAAUAGACGAUUUACAGGCAUGAAUAUUUUGAACAACACGAUAAAAGUGCAGAUAACAGUCUAAGGCCACCAAUGAUUCUUCAACGCAGAAGAAAUUCCAGCACCAGGAGGUGGGCCUCAGCUAGCCCCUAAAUUAAAAUGUGUACCAACUAUGUCUAAAUGGACGUCAUAC
RNAcentral lists this long non-coding RNA (323 nucleotides) under Mytilus galloprovincialis (Mediterranean mussel). The record is from RNAcentral. Lineage: Eukaryota; Metazoa; Mollusca; Bivalvia; Mytilida; Mytilidae.